CACGCAGUCCCUGACACACCAACGUACAUCCCGACACCAAGCGAUUGCAGUGCAGCUGGAGGUUGCAGAUGGUGAAAGAUUGUGGGGUGAAAGAAGGAACCACACUGAUGCAUACAACCACUAUGAUGAUUGUGAAGCCUGAUUUUAGGGAGAUCUUCAGCUUGUUUCAGACAAAAGAACGGCGGUUCGAUUUGCUGCAGAGGGAGCAUGAAAUGGAGAGAUGAAGCGCGCGUAGAAUCUUUUAGUUAUCGUGUCGAAAAAAUUAUGUAUUCGCUUGUCUUGUCGUGUGAACCAUUUGUGUCUUCUCGUGUGAACCGUUUGUGAUUUUUGUGAACCAUUUGCUGCCAUGUUGGUUGGUGCCAUGUAAAAUCACUUUUAUUU
Non-coding RNA from Lolium perenne, 381 nucleotides. The record is from RefSeq and is a predicted model, not a curated record. Lineage: Eukaryota; Viridiplantae; Streptophyta; Magnoliopsida; Poales; Poaceae.